This 468-nucleotide ribosomal RNA is filed under the name uncultured bacterium. RNAcentral's name for it is "partial 16S ribosomal RNA". It matches the Rfam family "Bacterial small subunit ribosomal RNA", at positions 28 to 507 of the family's 1533-position model. The record is from RNAcentral.
GACGAACGCUGGCGGCGUGCUUAACACAUGCAAGUCGAACGGAAAGGCCCUGCUUUUGUGGGGUGCUCGAGUGGCGAACGGGUGAGUAACACGUGAGUAACCUGCCCUUGACUUUGGGAUAACGUCAGGAAACUGGGGCUAAUACCGGAUAGGAGCUCCUGCUGCAUGGUGGGGGUUGGAAAGUUUCGGCGGUUGGGGAUGGACUCGCGGCUUAGCAGCUUGUUGGUGGGGUAGUGGCUUACCAAGGCUUUGACGGGUAGCCGGCCUGAGAGGGGGACCGGCCACAAUGGGACUGAGAUACGGCCCAGACUCCUACGGGAGGCAGCAGUGGGGAAUAUUGCACAAUGGGCGGAAGCCUGAUGCAGCAACGCCGCGUGCGGGAUGACGGCCUUCGGGUUGUAAACCGCUUUCGCCUGUGACGAAGCGUGAGUGACGGUAAUGGGUAAAGAAGCACCGGCUAACUACGUG